UGGGGAAUAUUGGACAAUGGGCGCAAGCCUGAUCCAGCCAUGCCGCGUGAGUGAUGAAGGCCUUAGGGUUGUAAAGCUCUUUCGCCGACGAAGAUAAUGACGGUAGUCGGAGAAGAAGCCCCGGCUAACUUCGUGCCAGCAGCCGCGGUAAUACGAAGGGGGCUAGCGUUGUUCGGAAUCACUGGGCGUAAAGCGCACGUAGGCGGAUUGUUAAGUCAGGGGUGAAAGCCUGGAGCUCAACUCCAGAACUGCCCUUGAUACUGGCAAUCUCGAGUCCGGAAGAGGUAAGUGGAACUGCGAGUGUAGAGGUGAAAUUCGUAGAUAUUCGCAAGAACACCAGUGGCGAAGGCGGCUUACUGGUCCGGUACUGACGCUGAGGUGCGAAAGCGUGGGGAGCAAACAGGGUUAGAUACCCUGGUAGUCCACGCCGUAAACGAUGGAGGCUAGCCGUUGGCGAGCAUGCUCGUCAGUGGCGCAGCUAACGCAUUAAGCCUCCCGCCUGGGGGAGUACGGUCGCAAGAUUAAAACUUAAAUGAAUUGACGGGGUCAUAGCUGUUU
RNAcentral lists this ribosomal RNA (558 nucleotides) under uncultured bacterium. RNAcentral's name for it is "partial 16S ribosomal RNA". It matches the Rfam family "Bacterial small subunit ribosomal RNA", at positions 355 to 935 of the family's 1533-position model. The record is from RNAcentral.